UGCUGUGAACUCGAAGAGUAGGGCGGGACACGUGGUAUCCUGUCUGAAUAUGGGGGGACCAUCCUCCAAGGCUAAAUACUCCUGACUGACCGAUAGUGAACCAGUACCGUGAGGGAAAGGCGAAAAGAACCCCGGCGAGGGGAGUGAAAAAGAACCUGAAACCGUGUACGUACAAGCAGUGGGAGCCUCUUUAUGGGGUGACUGCGUACCUUUUGUAUAAUGGGUCAGCGACUUAUAUUCUGUAGCAAGGUUAACCGUAUAGGGGAGCCGAAGGGAAACCGAGUCUUAACUGGGCGUUAAGUUGCAGGGUAUAGACCCGAAACCCGGUGAUCUAGCCAUGGGCAGGUUGAAGGUUGGGUAACACUAACUGGAGGACCGAACCGACUAAUGUUGAAAAAUUAGCGGAUGACCUGUGGCUGGGGGUGAAAGGCCAAUCAAACCGGGAGAUAGCUGGUUCUCCCCGAAAGCUAUUUAGGUAGCGCCUCGUGAACUCAUCUUCGGGGGUAGAGCACUGUUUCGGCUAGGGGGCCAUCCCGGCUUACCAACCCGAUGCAAACUACGAAUACCGAAGAAUGUUAUCACGGGAGACACACGGCGGGUGCUAACGUCCGUCGUGAAGAGGGAAACAACCCAGACCGCCAGCUAAGGUCCCAAAGUCAUGGUUAAGUGGGAAACGAUGUGGGAAGGCACAGACAGCCAGGAUGUUGGCUUAGAAGCAGCCAUCAUUUAAAGAAAGCGUAAUAGCUCACUGGUCGAGUCGGCCUGCGCGGAAGAUGUAACGGGGCUAAACCAUGCACCGAAGCUGCGGCAGCGACACUAUGUGUUGUUGGGUAGGGGAGCGUUCUGUAAGCCGUUGAAGGUGUCCUGUGAGGGGUGCUGGAGGUAUCAGAAGUGCGAAUGCUGACAUAAGUAACGAUAAAGCGGGUGAAAAGCCCGCUCGCCGGAAGACCAAGGGUUCCUGUCCAACGUUAAUCGGGGCAGGGUGAGUCGACCCCUAAGGCGAGGCCGAAAGGCGUAGUCGAUGGGAAACAGGUUAAUAUUCCUGUACUUGGUGUUACUGCGAAGGGGGGACGGAGAAGGCUAUGUCAGCCGGGCGACGGUUGUCCCGGUUUAAGCAUGUAGGCGGAGGUUCCAGGUAAAUCCGGUACCUUAUUAACGCUGAGGUGUGAUGACGAGGCACUACGGUGCUGAAGUGAUAAAUGCCCUGCUUCCAGGAAAAGCCUCUAAGCAUCAGGUAACACGAAAUCGUACCCCAAACCGACACAGGUGGUCAGGUAGAGAAUACCAAGGCGCUUGAGAGAACUCGGGUGAAGGAACUAGGCAAAAUGGUGCCGUAACUUCGGGAGAAGGCACGCUGAUGUGUAGGUGAAGCCCCUGCGGGCGGAGCUGAAAUCAGUCGAAGAUACCAGCUGGCUGCAACUGUUUAUUAAAAACACAGCACUGUGCAAACACGAAAGUGGACGUAUACGGUGUGACGCCUGCCCGGUGCCGGAAGGUUAAUUGAUGGGGUUAGCGGCAACGCGAAGCUCUUGAUCGAAGCCCCGGUAAACGGCGGCCGUAACUAUAACGGUCCUAAGGUAGCGAAAUUCCUUGUCGGGUAAGUUCCGACCUGCACGAAUGGCGUAAUGAUGGCCAGGCUGUCUCCACCCGAGACUCAGUGAAAUUGAACUCGCUGUGAAGAUGCAGUGUACCCGCGGCAAGACGGAAAGACCCCGUGAACCUUUACUAUAGCUUGACACUGAACACUGGUCCUUGAUGUGUAGGAUAGGUGGGAGGCUUUGAAGCGUGGACGCCAGUCUGCGUGGAGCCAACCUUGAAAUACCACCCUUUAAUGGCUGGUGUUCUAACGUAGACCCGUAAUCCGGGUUGCGGACAGUGUCUGGUGGGUAGUUUGACUGGGGCGGUCUCCUCCCAAAGAGUAACGGAGGAGCACGAAGGUUGGCUAAUCCUGGUCGGACAUCAGGAGGUUAGUGCAAUGGCAUAAGCCAGCUUGACUGCGAGCGUGACGGCGCGAGCAGGUGCGAAAGCAGGUCAUAGUGAUCCGGUGGUUCUGAAUGGAAGGGCCAUCGCUCAACGGAUAAAAGGUACUCCGGGGAUAACAGGCUGAUACCGCCCAAGAGUUCAUAUCGACGGCGGUGUUUGGCACCUCGAUGUCGGCUCAUCACAUCCUGGGGCUGAAGUAGGUCCCAAGGGUAUGGCUGUUCGCCAUUUAAAGUGGUACGCGAGCUGGGUUUAGAACGUCGUGAGACAGUUCGGUCCCUAUCUGCCGUGGGCGCUGGAGAAUUGAGGGGGGCUGCUCCUAGUACGAGAGGACCGGAGUGGACGCAUCACUGGUGUUCGGGUUGUCAUGCCAAUGGCACUGCCCGGUAGCUAAAUGCGGAAGAGAUAAGUGCUGAAAGCAUCUAAGCACGAAACUUGCCCCGAGAUGAGUUCUCCCUGAGACUUUAAGUCUCCUGAAGGAACGUUGAAGACGACGACGUUGAUAGGUCGGGUGUGUAAGCGCAGCGAUGCGUUGAGCUAACCGAUACUAAUGAACCGUGAGGCUUAACCUU
RNAcentral lists this ribosomal RNA (2552 nucleotides) under Enterobacter hormaechei. Its description in RNAcentral is "partial 23S ribosomal RNA". It matches the Rfam family "Bacterial large subunit ribosomal RNA", at positions 395 to 2925 of the family's 2925-position model. The record is from RNAcentral. Lineage: Bacteria; Pseudomonadati; Pseudomonadota; Gammaproteobacteria; Enterobacterales; Enterobacteriaceae.